AUUGAACGCUGGCGGCAGGCCCAACACAUGCAAGUCGAGCGGAUGAAGGGAGCUUGCUCCUGGAUUCAGCGGCGGACGGGUGAGUAAUGCCUAGGAAUCUGCCUGGUAGUGGGGGAUAACGUCCGGAAACGGGCGCUAAUACCGCAUACGUCCUGAGGGAGAAAGUGGGGGAUCUUCGGACCUCACGCUAUCAGAUGAGCCUAGGUCGGAUUAGCUAGUUGGUGGGGUAAAGGCCUACCAAGGCGACGAUCCGUAACUGGUCUGAGAGGAUGAUCAGUCACACUGGAACUGAGACACGGUCCAGACUCCUACGGGAGGCAGCAGUGGGGAAUAUUGGACAAUGGGCGAAAGCCUGAUCCAGCCACGCCGCGUGUGUGAAGAAGGUCUUCGGAUUGUAAAGCACUUUAAGUUGGGAGGAAGGGCAGUAAGUUAAUACCUUGCUGUUUUGACGUUACCAACAGAAUAAGCACCGGCUAACUUCGUG
Molecule: ribosomal RNA, 484 nt
Filed under: uncultured bacterium
Lineage: Bacteria
Description: partial 16S ribosomal RNA
Rfam family: Bacterial small subunit ribosomal RNA
Source: RNAcentral